AAUGAACGUUGGCGGCGUGGAUUAGGCAUGCAAGUCGCGCGGGAUCUUGUUGAUUGAAACUUCGGUUGAUUGAUUCAAGUGAGAGCGGCGAAAGGGAGAGUAACGCGUGGAUAUCUGCCCUCGGCUCCAGGAUAGCGUUGGGAAACUGGCGGUAAUACUGGAUAAUAUCUCCGGAUCAAAGGUGUGAUUCCGGCCGAGGAUGAGUCCGCGUCCUAUUAGAUUGUUGGGGGUAAUGGCCUACCAAGUCGAAGAUGGGUACCGGUGUGAGAGCAUGGCCCGGCUCACUGGGACUGAGACACUGCCCAGACGUCUACGGACGGCUGCAGUCGAGAAUCUUCCGCAAUGGACGAAAGUCUGACGAGCGACGCCGCGUGCGGGAUGAAGGCCCUCGGGUUGUAAACCGCUGUCAGUUGGGAGGAAAUGCUAUGGGGUUCUCUCCAUAGUUUGACCGAUCUUCAGAGGAAGUACGGGCUAAGUACGUGCCAGCCGCC
Molecule: ribosomal RNA, 491 nt
Filed under: uncultured bacterium
Lineage: Bacteria
Description: bacterial SSU rRNA
Rfam family: Bacterial small subunit ribosomal RNA
Source: RNAcentral